UACGUACCGGACAAACGUUAUUCGGAAUCACUGGGCUUAAAGAGUGCGUAGGCGGUCUAACAGGUGGGGUGUGAAAGCCCACGGCUCAACCGUGGAAUUGCGCUCCAAACCGUUGGACUUGAGGGAGACAGGGGUGAGCGGAACUGAUGGUGGAGCGGUGAAAUGCGUUGAUAUCAUCAGGAACACCGGUGGCGAAGGCGGCUCACUGGGUCUCUUCUGACGCUGAGGCACGAAAGCUAGGGUAGCGAACGGG
This 253-nucleotide ribosomal RNA is filed under the name uncultured bacterium. Its description in RNAcentral is "partial 16S ribosomal RNA". It matches the Rfam family "Bacterial small subunit ribosomal RNA", at positions 524 to 776 of the family's 1533-position model. The record is from RNAcentral.